RNAcentral lists this ribosomal RNA (684 nucleotides) under uncultured Lachnospiraceae bacterium. RNAcentral describes it as "bacterial SSU rRNA". It matches the Rfam family "Bacterial small subunit ribosomal RNA", at positions 49 to 746 of the family's 1533-position model. Lineage: Bacteria; Bacillati; Bacillota; Clostridia; Lachnospirales; Lachnospiraceae. The record is from RNAcentral.
UAACACAUGCAAGUCGAACGAAGCGAGAGAGAGCUUGCUUUCUCGAGCGAGUGGCGAACGGGUGAGUAACGCGUGAGGAACCUGCCUCAAAGAGGGGGACAACAGUUGGAAACGACUGCUAAUACCGCAUAAGCCCACAGGUCGGCAUCGACCAGAGGGAAAAGGAGCAAUCCGCUUUGAGAUGGCCUCGCGUCCGAUUAGCUAGUUGGUGAGGUAACGGCCCACCAAGGCGACGAUCGGUAGCCGGACUGAGAGGUUGAACGGCCACAUUGGGACUGAGACACGGCCCAGACUCCUACGGGAGGCAGCAGUGGGGAAUAUUGCACAAUGGGGGAAACCCUGAUGCAGCGACGCCGCGUGGAGGAAGAAGGUCUUCGGAUUGUAAACUCCUGUUGUUGAGGAAGAUAAUGACGGUACUCAACAAGGAAGUGACGGCUAACUACGUGCCAGCAGCCGCGGUAAAACGUAGGUCACAAGCGUUGUCCGGAAUUACUGGGUGUAAAGGGAGCGCAGGCGGGAAGACAAGUUGGAAGUGAAAUCUAUGGGCUCAACCCAUAAACUGCUUUCAAAACUGUUUUUCUUGAGUAGUGCAGAGGUAGGCGGAAUUCCCGGUGUAGCGGUGGAAUGCGUAGAUAUCGGGAGGACACCAGUGGCGAAGGCGGCCUACUGGGCACCAACUGACGC